This 547-nucleotide ribosomal RNA is filed under the name uncultured bacterium. Its description in RNAcentral is "bacterial SSU rRNA". It matches the Rfam family "Bacterial small subunit ribosomal RNA", at positions 355 to 896 of the family's 1533-position model. The record is from RNAcentral.
UGGGGAAUAUUGCGCAAUGGGGGGAACCCUGACGCAGCCAUGCCGCGUGAAUGAAGAAGGCCUUAGGGUUGUAAAGUUCUUUCGGUAUUGAGGAAGGUUGAUGUGUUAAUAGCACAUCAAAUUGACGUUAAAUACAGAAGAAGCACCGGCUAACUCCGUGCCAGCAGCCGCGGUAAUACGGAGGGUGCGAGCGUUAAUCGGAAUAACUGGGCGUAAAGGGUACGCAGGCGGUUAUUUAAGUGAGGUGUGAAAGCCCCGGGCUUAACCUGGGAAUUGCAUUUCAGACUGGGUAACUAGAGUACUUUAGGGAGGGGUAGAAUUCCACGUGUAGCGGCGAAAUGCGUAGAGAUGUGGAGGAAUACCGAAGGCGAAGGCAGCCCCUUGGGAAUGUACUGACGCUCAUGUGCGAAAGCGUGGGGAGCAAACAGGAUUAGAUACCCUGGUAGUCCACGCUGUAAACGCUGUCGAUUUGGGGGUUGGGGUUUAACUCUGGCGCCCGUAGCUAACGUGAUAAAUCGACCGCCUGGGGAGUACGGCCGCAAGGUUA